AUCCAGCUGACGAGUCUCAAAUAAGACGUAACAUGCGUUCUAGAU
This 45-nucleotide non-coding RNA is filed under the name Schistosoma margrebowiei. Lineage: Eukaryota; Metazoa; Platyhelminthes; Trematoda; Strigeidida; Schistosomatidae. The record is from RNAcentral.